Molecule: ribosomal RNA, 667 nt
Filed under: uncultured bacterium
Lineage: Bacteria
Description: bacterial SSU rRNA
Rfam family: Bacterial small subunit ribosomal RNA
Source: RNAcentral
UGCAAGUCGAGCGGCAGCGCGGGGGCAACCCUGGCGGCGAGCGGCGAACGGGUGAGUAAUGUAUCGGAACGUACCCAGUCGUGGGGGAUAACUAUCCGAAAGGAUAGCUAAUACCGCAUACGUCCUGAGGGAGAAAGCGGGGGACCGAAAGGCCUCGCGCGAUUGGAGCGGCCGAUAUCGGAUUAGCUAGUUGGUGAGGUAAAGGCUCACCAAGGCGACGAUCCGUAGCUGGUCUGAGAGGACGACCAGCCACACUGGAACUGAGACACGGUCCAGACUCCUACGGGAGGCAGCAGUGGGGAAUUUUGGACAAUGGGGGCAACCCUGAUCCAGCCAUUCCGCGUGAGUGAAGAAGGCCUUCGGGUUGUAAAGCUCUUUCAGCAGGAACGAAACGGUGGCUCCUAAUACGAGUUACUAAUGACGGUACCUGAAGAAGAAGCACCGGCUAACUACGUGCCAGCAGCCGCGGUAAUACGUAGGGUGCGAGCGUUAAUCGGAAUUACUGGGCGUAAAGCGUGCGCAGGCGGUUAUAUAAGACAGAUGUGAAAUCCCCGGGCUUAACCUGGGAACUGCGUUUGUGACUGUAUAACUCGAGUGUGGCAGAGGGGGGUGGAAUUCCACGUGUAGCAGUGAAAUGCGUAGAGAUGUGGAGGAACACCGAUGGCGA